GGCCCAUUCCCCAAUCCAUAAUUCCUAAGGCCCAUGGUUGCCCAUAUGGUACAUAUUCCCCCACCCCCAGUUUGUCUCUGGCCAACCCUGCUGGCCUUCCUCCAGCUCCUCAGUGUGAUACAUAUCUCACAUCUUUUUCUCUUGUGCAGGUUUUCAAGCCAGCUAUGGCCUUCUCUGGUAUUCAAAGAGUGCUGGCCGCCAUGUGCCAGGCCAUCUGCCAGUAAAGAAGUGAAGAGGCAGUCCUCCUGCUUCCCAGGCAGAGGAUGAUGGCGUGCUUUCUCUUGCCACACCCGAUGUCAUGCCUGAUGGAUCUCACCAAGACUUAAGAGCCAAGCAUCCCCAGACAGCUAACACUAAGUAAAAACCAGGUUUCUUAUGAAGAAGCAAAC
Molecule: long non-coding RNA, 389 nt
Filed under: Mustela putorius furo (domestic ferret)
Lineage: Eukaryota; Metazoa; Chordata; Mammalia; Carnivora; Mustelidae
Description: lncRNA (ENSMPUG00000031236.1)
Source: RNAcentral